CCUACGGGAGGCAGCAGUGGGGAAUAUUGGGCAAUGGGCGCGAGCCUGAACCAGCGAAGUAGCGUGAAGGAUGACUGCCCUACGGGUUGUAAACUUCUUUUAUAAAGGAAUAAAUUGAUGCACGUGUGCCUUUUUGUAUGUACUUUAUGAAUAAUGAUCGGCUAACUCCGGUCCAGCAGCCGCGGUAAUACGGAGGAUCCGAGCGUUAUCUUGAUUUGUUUGGUUUAAAGUGAGCGUAGGUGGUUUGGUAAGUGAGUUGUGAAAGUUUGGGGCUCAACCGUAAAAUUGCAAAUGAUACUGGCAGUCUUGAGUACAGGUGAGGUAGGCGGAAUUCGUGGUGUAGCGGUGAAAUGCGUAGAUAUCACGAAGAACACCGAUUGCGAAGGCAGCUUACUAGACUGCCACUGACGUUGAUGCUCGAAAGUGUGGGUAGCAAACAGGAUUAGAUACCCGUGUAGUC
RNAcentral lists this ribosomal RNA (460 nucleotides) under uncultured bacterium. RNAcentral's name for it is "partial 16S ribosomal RNA". It matches the Rfam family "Bacterial small subunit ribosomal RNA", at positions 338 to 795 of the family's 1533-position model. The record is from RNAcentral.